RNAcentral lists this ribosomal RNA (507 nucleotides) under uncultured bacterium. RNAcentral describes it as "bacterial SSU rRNA". It matches the Rfam family "Bacterial small subunit ribosomal RNA", at positions 18 to 518 of the family's 1533-position model. The record is from RNAcentral.
CAUGGCUCAGGAUGAACGCUAGCGGCAGGCUUAACACAUGCAAGUCGAGGGGCAUCGGGAGUAGCAAUACUUGCCGGCGACCGGCGCAAGGGUGCGUAACGCGUGAGCAACAUGCCCGUAUCAGGGGGAUAAUCCAUGGAAACGUGGUCUAAUACCCCAUAGUAAUUAUGUAAGGCAUCUUAUAUAAUUUAAAGCUUUGGUGGAUACGGAUUGGCUCGCGUGACAUUAGCUAGACGGUAAGGUAACGGCUUACCAUGGCUACGAUGUCUAGGGGUUCUGAGAGGAAGGUCCCCCACACUGGAACUGAGACACGGUCCAGACUCCUACGGGAGGCAGCAGUGAGGAAUAUUGGACAAUGGAUGGAAAUCUGAUCCAGCCAUGCCGCGUGCAAGGGAAGACGGCCCUAUGGGUUGUAAACUGCUUUUGUAUGGGAGCAAUAAGGGCUACGCGUAGUCCGAUGAGAGUACCAUACGAAUAAGCACCGGCUAACUCCGUGCCAGCCGCGGC